CACACACACACACACACACACACACGCACACACACACACACACACACACACACACACACACACACACACACACACACACACAGAAAUAAAAAAAUCGUGCUCAAAGACUGUUUAGAAGCACCGUUUUACAGCUGUUUAGAAAACUCAGCUGGACGUUCACUGCUCCUCCCUGAAAGAUUCAAGGGACCUCCCUCUUUCUCUCACCCUCUCCCUCUCUUUCUUUCUCUCUCCCUCUUUUUCUCUCAUCCUCUCUUUCUUUCCCUCUCCCUCGUUUUUUUCUCUCUCACCCUCUCUCGCUCCCUCUUUCUUUCUUUUUCUCUCACCCUCUCUAGCUCCCUCUCCUUCUUUCUUUCUUUCUCCCUCUUUUUUCUCUCACUCUGUUUUUCUCUCUCUCCCUCUCACCUUUUCUCACUCAUCCUCUUUCUCUCCCUCUUUCUUUCUUUCUCCCUGUUUUCUCUCUGUCACCCUCUCUCGCUCCCUCUCUUUCUUUCUCCCUCUUUUUUCUCUCACCAUAUUUUUCUCUCUGUCACCCUCUCUCGCUCCCUCUUUCUUUCUUUCUUUCUUUCUUUCUUUCUUUCUUUCUUUCUUUCUUUCUUUCUUUCUUUCUUUCUUUCUCACUCUUUUCUCUCUCUCGCUCCCUCUCUUUCUUUCUCCCUCUUUUUUCUCUCACCAUCUUUUUCUCUCUGUCACCCUCUCUCGCUCCCUCUUUCUUUCUUUCUUUCUUUCUUUCUUUCUUUCUUUCUUUCUUUCUUUCUCACUCUUUUCUCUCUCUCGCUCCCUGUCUUUCUUUCUCCCUCUUUUUUCUCUCUCACCCUCUCUUGCUCCCUGUCUUUCUUUCUCCCUCUUUUUUCUCUCACCAUUUUUUUCUCUCUCUCACCCUCUCUAGCUCCCUCUCCUUCUUUCUUUCUUUCUUUCUCCCUCUUUUUUCUCUCACUCUCUUUUUCUCUCUCUCUCUCACCUUUUCUCACUCAUCCUCUUUCUCUCCCUCUCUUUCUUUCUUUCUUUCUCCCUGUUUUCUCUCUGUCACCCUCUCUAGCUCCCUGUUUCUUUCUUUCUCUCUCACCCUCUCUUGCUCCCUCUCUUUCUGUCUUUCUCCCUCUUUUUCUCUCUCUCACACCCUCAUAG
Molecule: long non-coding RNA, 1125 nt
Filed under: Nothobranchius furzeri (turquoise killifish)
Lineage: Eukaryota; Metazoa; Chordata; Actinopteri; Cyprinodontiformes; Nothobranchiidae
Description: lncRNA (ENSNFUG00015020161.1)
Source: RNAcentral